Non-coding RNA from Pelobates cultripes (western spadefoot toad), 264 nucleotides. The record is from the annotation of a GenBank genome assembly. NCBI's taxonomy places the organism in Eukaryota, Metazoa, Chordata, Amphibia, Anura, Pelobatidae.
UCCCCAAUACACACAUUCUCUACAACCCAUAGCCACAUAUGCAUCACAUUACCCCACAAACACAACACGACUAAAACCGACCUUAUUACACAAUACCACACCACGACCAGCUCACUCUACACACACGCAAUACCACAAGCAGGCUCCAAACACAUCCACAAUACUCUUUCCUGGCCCUUUUGUCUCCUGGUAUCCAUUUAUAGAGACAUCAGGGACAAGUUGCAAGGAAAUACAGUGCAAGCAUGUUAUUAAAUUUGCUUGCAC